This 1366-nucleotide ribosomal RNA is filed under the name Rediviva intermixta. RNAcentral's name for it is "16S ribosomal RNA". Lineage: Eukaryota; Metazoa; Arthropoda; Insecta; Hymenoptera; Melittidae. The record is from RNAcentral.
AUUAUUUAACUUGUUUAUAUUUUUAUUUGAUAAUUUAAUAUUAGUUUAAUUAAAAUAAUAUUAUAGUUAAUUAGUUAUAGUAUAUAAAUAGAACAAAUUUAUUAAAGCUUUAGAAUUGUAAAAGAAAAAUUUAAAUAUUAAGAAGAAAAACUUUUUUUGUACCUUUUGUAUCAGGGUUAAUUAAUAUUAUAGUUUAUAUAAACUAAUCUCGAAAGUAAAUGAGCUAAAUAUAUAUAUAAUUUUAUGUAAUAAUAUUUAAUACAAAAUUUAUAUUUAGAAAUGAAACGUUAUCGUAUUUACUGAUAUCUAGUUUUUUAAUAAAUAAAUUUAAUUUAGAUAAUUAGUUCUAUUAACUUAUUUAUUUAUAAAAUAAUUUAAUAUUAAUUAUAAAAAAUUUAUGGGAUAAACUAUAAAUUUAUAUUAUUAUACAAAGUUUAUUUAAAUGAUAUAUUUAAAAAAUAGUUAUAAAAUUUAAUUUUUAUAUUAAAAAUUUAAUAAUUUAUUGAACAAUAUUAUUAAAGAUUUGUAAAUUAAUGUAUGUAAAUUUUCAUUAAAAAAUUUUAUAAAACCAUUUUAUAAUAGUUAUAAUGAUUAAAUUAGUAAUAUAUAUUAUAUUGUUAUAAAAUCUUAUUAAAGAUUUUUAUAUAUAUAAAAAGAAUUCGGCAAAAUAAAUAUAUUCACCUGUUUCUCAAAAACAUGGCCUUUUGUUUAAAAUUUAAGGUCCAUUCUGCUCAAUGAAAUUUUUAAAUAGCUGCAGUAUCUUGACUGUACAAAGGUAGCAUAAUCAUUUGUCUUUUAAAUGGAGUCUGGAAUAAACGAAUAAAUGAAAUAUAUACUGUUUCUUAUAUAAAAAUUGAAUUUAGAAUUUAAGUUAAAAUUCUUAAAUUUAAUUAUGGGACGAAAAGACCCUAUAGAAUUUUAUAGUUUGAUUAAUUUAGGUGUUUUUAUUAAUUAUAAAUAUUUAAAUUAAUUUAAAUUAUUUGGUUGGGAGGAUUUUUUAAUUUAUUAAACUUAAAAAUUAUAUUAUCAACGAUAAUUGAAUAUAAAAUGAAUCUUAAUAAAAUUAAUAGAAUAAAUUACCUUAGGGAUAACAGCGUAAUAUCUUUACAAAGACCUAAUUAAUAAAGAUGAUUGCGACCUCGAUGUUGAAUUAAGAAAAAUAUUAGAUGCAGGAGUCUAAUAAUUAAGUCUGUUCGACUUUUAAAAUCUUACAUGAUUUGAGUUCAGAUCGGCGUAAGCCAGAUCGGUUUUUAUCUAUAAUAAAAUUUAAUAUUCUUGUACGAAAGGACUUUAUAUUAUAAAUAAUUUAUAUUAAAUUAAAUUAAUCAAUUUAUUAUCUUGGCAGAUUAGUGUAAUAAAUUUAGAA